RNAcentral lists this ribosomal RNA (421 nucleotides) under uncultured bacterium. RNAcentral's name for it is "bacterial SSU rRNA". It matches the Rfam family "Bacterial small subunit ribosomal RNA", at positions 9 to 412 of the family's 1533-position model. The record is from RNAcentral.
GAGUUUGAUCCUGGCUCAGGAUGAACGCUGGCGGCGUGCUUAACACAUGCAAGUCGAGCGAAGCGCUUUACUUUGAUUUCUUCGGAUUGAAAAGUGCUGCGACUGAGCGGCGGACGGGUGAGUAACGCGUGGGCAACCUGCCUCAUACAGGGGGAUAACAGUUAGAAAUGACUGCUAAUACCGCAUAAGACCACAGUACCGCAUGGUAUAGUGGUAAAAACUCCGGUGGUAUGAGAUGGGCCCCGCGUCUGAUUAGGUAGUUGGCGGGUAACGGCCCACCAAGGCGACGAUCAGUAGCCGGCCUGAGAGGGCGACCGGCCACAUUGGAACUGAGACACGGUCCAAACUCCUACGGGAGCAGCAGUGGGAAUAUUGCACAAUGGGCGAAAGCCUGAUGCAGCAACGCCGCGUGAACGAUGAA